CUGGCGGCAGGCCUAACACAUGCAAGUCGAGCGGAUGAAGAGAGCUUGCUCUCUGAUUCAGCGGCGGACGGGUGAGUAAUGCCUAGGAAUCUGCCUGGUAGUGGGGGACAACGUCUCGAAAGGGACGCUAAUACCGCAUACGUCCUACGGGAGAAAGCAGGGGACCUUCGGGCCUUGCGCUAUCAGAUGAGCCUAGGUCGGAUUAGCUAGUUGGUGAGGUAAUGGCUCACCAAGGCGACGAUCCGUAACUGGUCUGAGAGGAUGAUCAGUCACACUGGAACUGAGACACGGUCCAGACUCCUACGGGAGGCAGCAGUGGGGAAUAUUGGACAAUGGGCGAAAGCCUGAUCCAGCCAUGCCGCGUGUGUGAAGAAGGUCUUCGGAUUGUAAAGCACUUUAAGUUGGGAGGAAGGGCAGUAACUUAAUACGUUGCUGUUUUGACGUUACCGACAGAAUAAGCACCGGCUAACUCUGUGCCAGCAGCCGCGGUAAUACAGAGGGUGCAAGCGUUAAUCGGAAUUACUGGGCGUAAAGCGCGCGUAGGUGGUUUGUUAAGUUGGAUGUGAAAGCCCCGGGCUCAACAUGGGAACUG
RNAcentral lists this ribosomal RNA (592 nucleotides) under Pseudomonas putida. Its description in RNAcentral is "bacterial SSU rRNA". It matches the Rfam family "Bacterial small subunit ribosomal RNA", at positions 36 to 623 of the family's 1533-position model. Lineage: Bacteria; Pseudomonadati; Pseudomonadota; Gammaproteobacteria; Pseudomonadales; Pseudomonadaceae. The record is from RNAcentral.